AGUGGAAGCUGGGGUGUCGGCGGGCGGCCGCGGCCGGGUCUAGCGGUGCCUGCGGAAGAAGGAGGAGGAGGGCUGGCGAUGAGAAGCAGCAGGGGGAAUCAAGGGCAAGAAGGGACCCAGAGGGGCAGGUGGCUGAGAUGCUGGCGUCCAGGUGACCCGAGGAAUCCUCUGGAGAUACAGGCCCGCGCAUGCGCGUGCUCGAGCGCUGAAGCCCAUUGCCCGCAGGGCGCUGGACUGGCGCCCCGGCCGGCGAGGCUGUCUAGUCCAGGCUCCAGGCCCCGGCUCUGGCCAGGCGCCGCCGCCUCCCGGUGCAGCUGAAAGUCGACGAAGAGGGCGGGGCGGGGGCGGCUUGUGGACUUCCACACUUUUCCUCUCUUCGGGCCAGUCUGGGGAGAGGGUGGCUAGCUGUGGCGGCGGCCAAUUACGUGGCGGACCUGCGGGGCUAAGCUGGCACGUCACUUCCGACUAGUGGAGUUUUUAGCCUUUUAACAUUCAAGGAUUAGAGCUCCCUCUUUGCCCACUAGCAGGGCAUUAGCUGGUGCUGAAGACAGUGGCUGCUUGGCGAGCCUGGAUCUCCAAGUGACCCCCUCAGCAACUCCUGAUGAACAGGACUGAAGCCAAUAUUAAAGCAAGUCAACCAAAGGUUCUCUGGUGUAGACAAGACAGCAAAAGGACAGACUACCUUGUGGAACCUAGCAUUGUUCUCCUUCUGCAGCACUAAGUAACAUUUGUUCUCCGUUAAGAUCUUUGCAAACCACACACAAGAAUUGCUGGUCAUCCUGCCAAUAGAUGCUGCUCACAGAACCAAAUUUCCUGUGCUGAAUUGUCACUCAUGGGCUUGAGAGUAGGAGACUGGAGACCAAGGUGGCUAGAAUCCAGUUGGGCCUGAUGUCUCCCUGUUGAAAGGGCUCCUUGUGGAAUGAAUAGCACAUGGCUCCUGUGGUGGAUCUGAUAGUGGCAUAGCACCAAGUGAUGCAGGCCUGCCAGGGGCCACAGACACAGAAGAUGCUCCCGGGGUCCCCCAUGUACUCCAGACACACUGCAGGCCACCUCUCCCAGCAGGUUGCCAGUCAUGGGCCCCAUCAUCAUGACUUCUGUCCAAGGUACUGUGUGCAGAAAUGUGAUUGAGAUUCAAGUCAGGGCCUCUCUGCCCUUUUCCCUCCAGAAACAAAACCAAGAUAAUUUAUCCUGAACACGGUGAAAAAAGGAAGGGAGGGAGGAGAAAAAGUCCGGGUCUCACCUGGGAUUCUCUGUCUCCUGCAACAUGAAGGAUUUAGCCUGGGAGGAGGUGGUGAGAACUCUGGGAGAGAAAAAAGAAGGAAAGAAUAGUUUUACCCAUGCUGAAGUUAAUUUAAACCUUCACCUAGAGAAGCAAAAAAAAAAAACCCACACUUUCCCAUUUUGUGCCUCCCUUCCUAGAGUUUUAGCCAAAGGUUUAGCUAAGUAAUUGGUUUUACCAGCGCACUCACUCCUCCUAUCCCAAGUCUGUUUGACUCCCUCCCCAUCAUCCUCCUCACCUCUUUUCAGGCAGGGUGGGGAUAGCAGCAGGAGGAGAUUUUGGGAGCCUGGCAACUCCUGCAAGGACCGCAGGACAGCCCCUCUGUGGGGAUGCGUGGUGCCCCAUCUGCCGCCCUUCUGAAGAAUGCACUGCCUUCACUUUUUACUGUGUUAGAGUCCAUCCAGACUGUUCUAUCCAAAAAAGUUUCUUUUUCCCCCACAGGCAAUCAGGAAAUGAUUCCUUUCCCGACUGCUUCUGUCUAGUGCCUGGGAAUCUUGAGUCAAUCCCUCAGUAAGUCAGUGACUAGGGAAAUCCCUCUCUGAGCCUCCCAGUUCAUGUUGCUUAGGGAACCUGAUAUUUUCGUGAAACCUGCCUACACAUGGGCAGCCCAACAGCAGAACAAAUGGUGGUGACCAAAGUGAACAAAGAAGUAUAGUUGUGCCAGCUUCGUAGUUGCCCAUGUGGACAAGUCAGCAGGAUCAGGACACGAGGAAGAGUAAAUGUGAGACAGUCAAUGUGACUUCUGCGAUAAACAGAUUUUUAAACCCCGAAAUUUUGCAAAAUUUUGGUGAAACCUGAACUUUCUUCGUUGCAUAUACUGGCACUAUCUGUACCAUCAUACAACUGUCUCACAUUAAAGCUAUUUUUCUUGGGCACUGAUGAGUAAGGUUGGUAUAAGUUCCUCAGAUCAACAAAAACCCAUUUUCCUGUAAGUCUUACAUUUAGUAUUUAAGGAACUAAAACUUAAAUACAUUUUGUGAAAUGGUUGACACUUCACUGAUAAUGAUUUAUUGCUUGGAUUAAUAAAUUUUCCAAAAGUUGUCUUAUGUAGAAUAUGGUUUGCAACCAGCAGAACCAUUAAUCUAUACUGCAAUGAUAUGCACUAUGUAUAAUUGUUUAAAAGCCUCUACUUAAUGAUGUAAAAUGCUCUAUUUAAUUACACAUUUGGGUAAACUGUAUACUAACAUCUGAUGGCAUUUUUCCACUGUUUGUUGCUUUUUUCAAAUACUUUAUUGUACAAAGCUGUUCUUAAUAUUUUUCAAGUUUUUUUCUUUGAAUUUUGCUAAUGUUUUCCUUGAAUUAUGAGCACUGACAGAAUGUGCUUAGCACUUUUGGCUAUUCACACAGCUUUUGAGCAUGAUUUGCAUCCAAUAUUUACAUUGCUAGCAAUAAUAAGCCAUCUGUGAGUUUUGUCAAAAGUUAUUGGGGAUUUUUUAAAUUUUAGAAAUGCAAAUUAUUGUUUCUUUGAACUAACUCUUAUGCAGUUGCAAAGGCAUUUCCAGUUGUUAUAGUUUGUGUACAAUAUCAGGUGUUCCAGAUUAUGAUUCAUUAUUAAUAUCAUUGCUUCCUUGUUCCCUCUGAGGUCCAGAAGAUUCAUGUUUACAAUAUUUAGAAACAAUGUUAAAAAGGUAUCCAAAGUUUGUCACUUUAUUAUUAGUUUGUUCUUAAUAUUCUGUUUAAGUUUUUGAAUUCAUAGAUAUCAAAACGCUGCACAAUUAUGAUUUCCACAGGAAUAACAACACACUAACAAUAAGAACCAAAAACAGCAAAUAGGCUGCCUACAAGUUUUGACAAUAUUAGGAUAAUGAUAAUGACAGUUUUUCUAAAUCUCACAGUAAAGAAUGCAGCAACCCAGCAACACUGCUACCUGUGGCCUCAGGCUGCAGUGUCAGCUCUUCCCUGGGUCUCCAGCCUGCCAGUCUAACCUGAAAAUUAUGUACUUGCCAGCCCCCACAGUCACGUGAGUGAACUGGCCCAGGCUGGUCACCAGGGUCAGUUUCUCUGUGUGUCAUUAAUUCAUUCAGUCUUCAGCAGUCUCUUUGGAGCUGAGAUGUACCUACCAUCUGCCUUUUGGGUGCUUAGGGUGGAGAACCAGAAAAGUAUAACCUAGUGUGUAUCCUCAAAGAGCUAACAAUAUGGGGUGGUACCUAUAGGUCUGGAAACACUUUACUGACUCUGUGAGGCAUACCAGGAGACGUCAGAGAACAGUCCCUCCUCAAAUGCCAAAUGAGAUGCAGAAGAAAUAGUUUGCUCAAGUUCAUGGGCCAGAUAUCCCAGUGGUCAGGGAGUUUCAUGAAUGAGAUGGAACUUUGCAUGGAACCCGAGGGAUGUGUAUGAUUUGAGUAGAUGAAGAAAAUGAGACUUUCCAAGCAGCUAGAAGUUAGGGAGCAGCAAGAUGUGUGGUGGGAUUGAGCACAGUUGGUUCAGAGGAUAGACUGCAGUUUUAAUAAUUUGUAGUAAAUAUCUCCCAACUGUUUGGCACUAUUGGAGCAAGUUCUUGAAUGCCAAAUGAAGGCAUAAAUCAGUAAGAGGCAUAAUAAAAGGCUGAGCAGUGCUUGGCUUUUUACGAACUGAUCCUGAUAGGAGCAGCUGUUCAACAAAGUUGCCAGGUCACCGUUACAUAGUCCCUGCCUUCUAGGGGCUCACUGCCUACUGGGAGAGACAGUCUGAAAGUUGGUGGAGCAUGUAACUGUUGGAUGAGGAGUUUGAGCCUGUGGACUGUGGGACCCCCGAGGAGGGUGUGGCUACUCUAGGCAGAACAAUCCCACAGUUUAUUUAUAUUUAACCUUGAAAUUCAUUAGAGGAUUUUUCAGCAGAGGUUUGGUACUUGUUAAUGUUAAGGUUUGCAUUCUCUAGAACCUCAAGGAAAGCUGUACCGUGCAUAAUGUACCCUCUUAUGUUAAUGUUGUGUACUGUGAUCCUGUUUCAGGGACUUGCACUUAGGAAUCUGUUACAGUGAGCACAGAAGCAGACCUGUGGGCUCAUAGUCUUCACCCCCCACCCAUAUAUACAAGAUGAACAGAGUGGAGGUUAAACAACUUGACUAAACAACACAGUUCAUGGUAAAGCCCAAGACUGUACCUGCCCAUCCACUGCCUUUUCCAUGUAUCCUGGAACUGAGCAUAGACCUCUUCCCAGGCAGAGCUGACAGCAAGUAAAGGAGAUCAUAAUCAGGGGACCAAACAACUUUGUCUAAAGUGUGAAUGUCACCUAAGGAGAAGCUGUGAGAUCAGAAGGGUGGGGCAGAGGAGCAGACACCAUGAGGGAGAGUCCUUGGGGGUACAUCUGCCAGACUGACACUGUCUGGCCUGGGCAGUGGAGGGGCUAGCAGGAACCACAGGUACUGGUGGUGUGGCUACUACCGUUACAACUGCCUGUGCUUGGACAUGGACCCUCUGCAAUAUGCGGCAGUUUCAUUCAUUGCCCCCUACAUUCUACACCAAGUAGAAAUGGAAGGCAAUUGGAUACUUCACAGACAAGAUCUAAGUGGAGAAGGAAUGCGUCCUGUGGCUGCAGAGAUCCUUGGAGCUUGGAGGGGAGAGCUUGAGCCCCACUGAUGAUGACCUCCCACAGCUCGCCAACUCAGCCCUCCCUAAGUCCCCAUCGGGGGCCAAUUCUCACUCUGGGGUUGGGGGGACUCCACCAUAGCUCAUCCAUCAUAGGGAUGUUGGUAUCUACUGUGGGUUGGGUAGGGCCGAUGUGCUGAGGAUGGCUCCCCCACAAGCAAGAGAUGUGGAUUUGGGGAGCUUCCCAUCUUGUGUUGAAGGAACAUAACUCAGAAUAAUAAGAGCCAACUAUAACAAACCCACAGCCAACAUCAUACUGAAUGGGCAAAAGCUGCAGGCAUUCCCCUUGAAAAGUGGCACAGGAUAAGGAAGCCCUUUCUCACCACUCCUAUUCAAUAUAGUGUUGAAAGUCCUGAUCACAGCAGUCAGGCAACAGAAAUAAUAAAGGGCAUCCAAAUAGGAAGAGAGGAAGUCAAACUAUCCUUGUUUGCAGACAGUAUGAUUCUAUAUCUAGAAAACCCCAUAGCCUCAGCCCAAAAGGUCCUUCAUCUGAUAAUUUCAGCAAAGUUUCAGGAGACAAAAUCAGUGUACAAAAAUCACUAACAUUCCUAUACACAGUCGCCAAGCCAAGAGCCAAAUCAGGAGCACAAUCCCAUUCAUAAUUGCCACAAAAAAGAAUAAAAUACCCAGGAAUGCAGCUAACCAAGGAAGUAAAGGAUCUCUACAAUGAGAAUCACAAACGCUGCUCAAAGAAAUCAGAGAUGACACAAACAAAUGGAAAAACUUUCCAUGCUCAUGGCUAGGAAGAAUCAAUAUCAUUAAAGUGGCCAUACUACCCAAAGCAAUUUAUAGAUUCAAUGCUAUUCCUAUCAAACUAUCAAUUACAUUUUUCACAGAACUAGAAAAAACUUAAAAUUCAUAUGGAACCAAAAAGCCUGAGUAGUCAAGGCAAUCCUAAACAAAAAGAACAAAGGUGGAGGCAUCACAUUACCUAACUUCAAACUACAGGGCUACCAUGACCAAAACAGCAUGGUACUGGUACAAAAGCAGACACACAGACCAGUGGGACAGAAUAGAGAGCCCAAAAAUAAGGCCACAAACCUACAGCCAUCUGAUCUUCAACAAAGUUGACAAAAACAAGCAAUGGGGAAAGGUCUCCCUAUUCAAUAAAUGGUGCUGGGAUAACUGGCUGGCCAUAUGCAGAAGAUCGUAACUGGACCCCUUUUACUAUGUACAAAAAUUAAGAUGGUUUAAAGAGUUAAAACCCAAAAUUAUAAAAAUCCUGAAGAUAACUUAGGCAAUACCAUUCUGGACAUAGGAACUGGCAAAUAUUUCAUGAUGAAGACACCAAAAGCAAUUGUAACAAAAGCAAAAAUGGACAAAUUGGAUUUAAGAGCUUUUUCAUAGCAAAAUAAACAACAGGGCAGACAAUCUACCAAAUGACAGAAAAUUUUUGCAAACUAUGCAUCUGACAAGGGGCUAAUAUCUAGCAUCUAUAAGGAAUUUAAACACAGUUACAGGAAAAAAAAAACCCACUCCAUUAAAAAAUGGGCAAAGGACAUGAACAGACACUUUUCAAAAAAGACAUACAUACAGCCAACUAGCGUGUUAAAGAAAACCUCAAUUAUCACUGAUCAUUAGAGAAAUGCAAAAUCAAAACCAUGAUGAGAUAUCAUCUGCCAGUCAGGAUGGCUACAAAAAAGUAAAAAAAUAAUAGAUGUUGGUGAGGUUAUGGAGAAAAGGAACUUAUACACUUGUUAGGAGUGUAAAUUAGUUCAAUCACUGUGGACAGCAGUGUGGUGAUUCCUCAGAGAGCUAAAAACAACUACCAUUUGACUCACCAAUCCCAUUACUGGAUAUUUACCUAAAGGAAUAUAAAUCAUUCCACCAUAAAGACACAUGCAAGUGUAUGUUCAUUGCAGCACUAUUAACAGUAACAAAGCUGGGCACAGUGGCUCACCUCACGACUGUAAUCCCAGCACUUUGGGAGGCUGAGGUAGGCGGAUCACCUGAGGUCGGCAGUUUGAGACCAGCCUGACCAACAUGGAGAGACCCCAUCUCUACUAAAAAUACAAAAUUAGCCAGGUGUGGUGGCUCAUGCCUGUAAUCCCAGCUACUUGGGAGGCCAAGGCAGGAGAAUUGCUUGAACCCAGGAGGCAGAGGUUGCAGUGAGCCGAGAUCACACCAUUGCACUCUAGCCUGGUGAAGGAGCAAGACUCCAUCUCAAAAAAAAAAAAAAAAAAGAAAGAAAGAAAAAUACACAUUCAGAGGAGACAAAAAAUAAAAAACAAUGAUGCAUGCCCACAGGAUCUAGAAAAUAACUUCUUAAGGGCAAAUCUAGGAGUUAUUGGCCUUAAAGAAGAGAUAGAGAAAGAGAUAGGAAUAGAAAGUUUGUUGAAAGGGAUAAUAACAUAGAACUUCCUAAACCUACAGAAAGAUAUUUAUAUCCAAGUACAAGAAGGUUAUAGAACACCAGGCCAAUUUAACCCAAAGAUUACCUCAAGGCAUUUAAUAAUCAAACUCCCACAGGACAAGGGUAAAGAAAGGAUCCUAAAAGCAGCAAGAGAAAAGAAACAGAUAACAUACAAUGGAGCUCCAAUACAUCUGGCAGUAUAUUUUUCAGUGGAAACCUUACAAGCCAGGAGAGAGUGACAUGACAUAUGUUAAAGUGCUGAAGGGAAAAAACCUUUUACCCUAGAAUAGUAUAUCCAGCAAAAAUAUCCUUCAAACAUGAAGAAUAAACAAAGACUUCCCCAGACAAACAAAAGCUGAGGGAUUUCAUCAACACUAGACUGGUCCCAUAAGAAACGCUUAAGGGAGUACUUUGGUCAGAAAGAAACAGACAUUAAUGAGCAACAAAGAAUCAUCUAAAGGUAAAAAACUCACUGUUAAGAGUAAGUACACAGAAAAACCCAAAGUGUGAUAACAUUGUAACUGUGGUGUGUAAGUAGAAAGAAUAAAUGAUAAACCAAUCAAAAAUAGUAACUACAACUUUUCAAGACCAGUCAGAAAAAUAAGAUAAAAUUAGAAACAACAAAAAGUUAAAAAGUGGGGGGAUGAAGUUAAGAUGUAGAGUUUUUAUUAGUUUUUUGUUUGUUAAUGCAAACAGUGUUACCAGGUUAAAAUAAUGGGUUACAAAAUAGUAUUUGUAAUCCUUAUGGUAACCUCAAACCUAAAAACAUACACUGGAUACAUAAAAAAUAAAAAGCAAAAACCUAAAUCAUAUCACCAGAGCAAACUACCUUCCCUAAAGGAAGACAGGAAGAAAAGAAAGAAGAAGACCACAAAACAACCAGAAAACAAAUAAAUAACAAGGCAGGAGUAAGUCUUUACUUAUCGAUAAUACAUUGAAUGGAAAUAUGGACUAAACUCUCCAAUCAAAAGACAUAGACUGGCUGAAUGAAUGGAGAAAACAAGACCCAUUGAUCUGUUGCCUACAAGAAACACACUUAAACUAUAAAGACACACAUAGGCUGAAAGUAAAGAGUUGGAAAGAGUUAUUCCAUGCCAAUGGAAACCAGGAAAAAGAGAAGGAGUAUUGAUUUUGAUACAAAAACUAUGAGACAAAUAAAGUCACUAUACAAUGAUAAAGGGGUUAAUAUGGUUUCCAUUUGUGCCCCACCCAAAUUUCGUGUUCUAUUGUAAUCCUCAAUGUUGGAGGUGGGGCCUGGUGGGACGUGAUUAGAUCAUGGGGGUGGAUCUUUCAUGACUAAUUCAGCACCAUCUUCUUAGUGCUGUUCUCAUGAUAGUGAGUUCUUCUGAAAUCUGGUUGCUUAAAAGUGUGUAGCACCUCUCCACACCACCCGCUUGCCUUGGUCUACUCCUGCUAUGUAGAUGCUUGCUCCCACUUUGCAUUAUUCCAUGAGUAAAAGCUCCCUCAGGCCUUCCCAGAAUCAGAUGCCGCUAUGCUUCCUGAACAGCCUGUGGAACUAUGAGCCAAUUCAACCUCUUUUCUUCAUAAAUUAACAAGUCUUGGGUAUUUCUUUAUAGCAGUGUGAGAACAGAAUAAUACAGAAAAUUGGUAAAGAGGAGUGAGGCAUUGCUAGAAAGAUACCUGAAAAUGUGGAAACAGCAGUGGAACUGGGAAAUAGACAGAGGUUGGAAGAGUGUGGAGGGCUCCGAAGAUAGGAAGAUGAGGGGAAGUUUGGAAUUUCUUAGAGAUUUGUUAAAUUGUUUUGACCAAAAUACUGAUGGUGAUAUGGACAAUGAAGUCCAGGCUGAGGAGGUCUCAGAUGGAGAUGAGGGACUUAUUGGGACCUGGAGUGAAGGUCACUUUUGUUAGGACAUUGUGGUUGGAGACAUUGUGCCCCUGCCCUAGGAAUCUGUGGAACUUUGAACUUGAGAGCGAAGAUUUAGGGUAUCUGGCAGAAGAAAUUUCUAAGCAGCAAAGCGUUCAAGACGUGGCCUGGCUGCUUCUGGUAGUCUGUGCUCAUAUUUGUGAGCAAAGACAUGACAAGAAACUGGAACUUAUAUUUAAAAAGGAAGCAGAGUGUAAAAGUUUGGAGAAUUUGCAGCCUGGCCAUGUUGUAGAAAAGAAAAAAACCAUUUUCUGGAGAGGAAUUCAAGCUAGCUGCAGAAAAUUGCAAGUAACAAGGAGCAAAAUGUUGAUAGCCAAGAUAGUGGGAAAAACACCUUGAAGGCAUUUCAGAUACCUUGGGGGCAGCCUCUCCCAUCACAGGCCCAAAGGCCUAGGAGGGAAGGAUGGUUUCCUGGGCCAGGCUCAGGGUCCUGCUGCCCUGCACAACCUCAGGAAACUGCUCUCCAAAUCCCAGCUGCUCCAGCUCCAGCUUCAGCUCAAAGGGCCCCAGGUAUAGCUCAGGCUGCUGCUCCAUAGGAUGCAAGUUAUAAGCCUUAGUGGCUCCCGUGUGGUGUUAAAUUAAGCCUGUAGGUGCACAGAGUGCAAGAAUUGAGGCUUGGGAGCCUCCAACUAGAUUUCAGAGUAUGUGUGGGAAAGCCUGGAUGUCCAGGCAGAAGCCAGCUGCAGGGACAGAGCCCUCAUGGAGAACCUCUACUAGGGUAGUGUGGAGGGGAAAUUUGGGGUUGGAGUUCCCACACAGCUUCCCCUCUGGUGUACUGCCUAGUGGAGCUGUGAGAAGACAGCCACUGUCCUCCAGAUUCCAGGAUGAUAGAUCUGCCAAUGACAGCUUGCACUGUACAACUGGAAAAGCCACAGGCAGUCAAUGCCAGCCCGUGAAAGCAGUGACAGUGGCUUACCCUGCAAAGUCCCAGGGGCUGAGCUGCCCAAGGCCUUGGGAGCCCACCCCUUGCACCAGUGUGCCCUGGAUGUGAGAUAUGGAGUCAAAGGAGAGUAUUUUGGAGCUUUAAGAUUUAAUGACUACCUGCUGGGUUUCAGACUUGCAUGGGUCCAGUAGCCCCUUUCUUUUGGCCAAUUUCUCACUUUUGGAAUGGGAGUGUUUACCCAAUUCCUGUACCCCCACUGUAUGUUGGAAGUAACUAACUGUUUUUUUAUUUUGUAAGCUCACAGGUGGGAGAGACUUGCCUUGUCUCAGGUUGAGACUCUGGACUUUGGACUUUUGAAUUAAUGCUGGAAUGAGUUAAGACUUUGAGGGACUGUUGGGAAGAUAUAACUGUAUUUUGCAGUAUGAGAAGGACAUGAGAUUUGGGAGACACCAGAGGUGGAAUAAUAUGAUUUGGAUCUGCAUCCCCACCAAAAUCUCAUGUUCAAUUGUAAUCCUAAAUUUUGGAGGUUGAGCCUGGUGGAAGAGGAUUGGAUAAUGGGGGUGGUUUCUCAUGGUUUAACACCAUCCCCCUGGGUGCUGUUCUCAUGACAGUGAGUGAGUUAUUGUGAGAUCUGAUUGUUUAAAAGUGUGUGCCACCUCCUCCCACUUUCCUCCUGCUCCAGCCAUGUAAGACAGGCUUGCCUCCCCUUCACCUUUUGUCAUGAUUGUAAGUGUUCUGAGGCCUCCCCAGCCAUGCUUCCUGUACAGCCUGCAGAACUGUGAGCCAAUUAAACCUCUUUUCUCUAUAUAUUACCCAGUCUCGGGUAUUUCUUUAUAGCAGUGCAAGAAUAGACUAAUACAGGGUUCAAUUCAGCAAGAGGAUAUAACAAAUAUAAAUAUAUAUGCACUCAACACUGCAGCACCCAGAUAUAUAAAGCAAAUACGAUUAGAGCUAAAGAGAGAGAGUGACCCCAAUACAAUAAUAGCUGGAGACUUCAACACCACAUUUUCAGCACUGGACAGAUCUUCCAGACAGAAAAUAAAAAAGAAACAUCAGACUUAAUCUGCACUGUAGAUCAAAUGGAUCUAAUACAUACUUGCAGAACAUUUUAUCCAAUGGCUGCAGAAUACACAUUCUUUUUUAGCACAUGUAUCAUUCUCAAGGAUAGACCAUAUGUUAGGUCACAAGUCUUAAAACAUUAAAAAAGUUGAAUACCAUCAAGCAUCUUCUCUGACCACAGUGGAAUACAACUAGAAACUAAUAACAAGAGGAAUUUUUGAAACUACAAAUACAUGAAAAUUAAACAAUAUGCUCCUGAAUGACCAUUGAGUCAAUGAAGAAAUUAAGAAGGAAAUUGAACAAUUUCUUGAAACAAAUGAUAAAGGAAACACAACAUACCAAAACCUAUGGGAUACGGCAAAAGCAGUACUAAGAGGCAAAUUGAUAGCUAUAAGUGCCUACAUGAAAAAAGAGGAAAAACUUCAAAUAAGCAAUUUAACAAUGAACCUUAACCAGAAAAGCAAGAGCAAAACAAACACAAAAUUAGAAGAAAACAAAUAAUAAAAAUUAGAGCAUAAAUAAAUAAAAUUGAAAUAAAAAUCAAUGCAAAAGAACAAUGAAACAAAAAGUUGCUUUUUUUCAAAAGUUAAACAAAACUGACAAGCCUUUAGCAAGACUGAGAAAAAAGAGACAAGAUACAAAUCAGAAAUGAAAAAGACAUUACAACUGACACUGCAGAAAUUCAAAGGAUCAUUAGGGGCUACUAUGAGCAACUCUAUGCCAAUAAAUUGGAAAAUCUAGAAGAAAUUGACAAUUCCUAGACACAUACAACCUACUGAGACUGGACCAGGAAGAAAUCCAAAACCUGAACAGACUAAUAACAAGUAACAAGGUUGAAGCCAUAAUAAAAAGUCUCCCACUAAAGAAAACCAAGGACCCGAUGGCUUCACUGUUGAAUUCUACCAAACAUUUAAAGAAGAACUAAUACCAAUCCCACUCAAGCUAUUGAAAAAUAGAGGAGGAGAGAAUAUUUCCAAAGUCAUUCUAGGAGACCAGUAUCACCCUGAUACCAAAACCAGACAAAGACACAUCAAAAAAAGAAAACUGCUGGCCAAUUUCUCUGAUGAA
This 12093-nucleotide long non-coding RNA is filed under the name Homo sapiens (human). RNAcentral describes it as "non-protein coding lnc-TRIM26-2:43". Lineage: Eukaryota; Metazoa; Chordata; Mammalia; Primates; Hominidae. The record is from RNAcentral.